RNAcentral lists this ribosomal RNA (544 nucleotides) under uncultured Enterobacteriaceae bacterium. RNAcentral describes it as "bacterial SSU rRNA". It matches the Rfam family "Bacterial small subunit ribosomal RNA", at positions 1 to 561 of the family's 1533-position model. The record is from RNAcentral. Lineage: Bacteria; Pseudomonadati; Pseudomonadota; Gammaproteobacteria; Enterobacterales; Enterobacteriaceae.
UCGGCUUAGAGUUUGAUCCUGGCUCAGAUUGAACGCUGGCGGCAGGCUUAACACAUGCAAGUCGAACGGUAGAGUAGCUUGCUACUUACGAGUGGCGGACGGGUGAGUAACGUAUGGGAAUUUACCGAAUGGAGGGGGACAACAGUUGGAAACGGCUGCUAAUACCGCAUAACGUCGAGAGACCAAAGGGUUUCGACUUGCCAUUUGAUGAGCCCAUAUGAGAUUAGCUAGUUGGUGUGGUAAUGGCUCACCAAGGCGACGAUCUCUAGCUGGUUUGAGAGGAUGACCAGCCACACUGGGACUGAGACACGGCCCAGACUCCUACGGGAGGCAGCAGUGGGGAAUAUUGCACAAUGGGGGGAACCCUGAUGCAGCCAUGCCGCGUGUAUGAAGAAGGCCUUAGGGUUGUAAAGUACUUUCGUGGAGGAGGAAGGGUUUACGUAAUCGUGGACAUUGACGUUACUCCAAGAAGAAGCACCGGCUAACUCCGUGCCAGCAGCUGCGGUAAUACGGAGGGUGCGAGCGUUAUCGGAAUGACGGGCGU